Long non-coding RNA from Brassica napus (rape), 1843 nucleotides. RefSeq lists it as uncharacterized. NCBI's taxonomy places the organism in Eukaryota, Viridiplantae, Streptophyta, Magnoliopsida, Brassicales, Brassicaceae. The transcript is spliced from 5 exons. The record is from RefSeq and is a predicted model, not a curated record.
AAAGGGCAGUAGUACCUUGCACUCUCAAGCCCUCUAAGUAGGAUAAAAAAAUCAGCCUAAUAAAAAGAUUCCAAUUUGCCAUGUCAUACCCACCUUCUCUCGACACCGACUCAUAUUUCAAUACCAAAACAAUUACCAGUUCGUCUUCCAAACCGUUCUAUAAUUGCUUUCAUCAAAGAAAAAUCGAUGGCCACUACUUCAGCCUCUCUUUUUUUUUUCCCAGGGAUCAUCAUAAUAAACCCUUCCCCACCACAAAUGAUUCCAUCAACUUUGAAAAUCGAUUUAAUUAUAUGAAGCUCAUUAGGCCGAGAUCGAUUUAUUCAACUCCUCCGGUGAGGCCGAGGAUAUUGAUCUCAAGUGACAUGAAUGAUAAGAGCAAGGAUGGAAGGAUCUGUUUCCGUAUACGGUGAUUUUGAUUUAGUUCAGCUGAGGAAUGGGAAUUCAAUGCCAGCUCAUAGUUCCCAGAGAUCAUCUAAUAAGAAAACAGAGGACGUACAAUGGAGAUCAUGAGGAGGAUGAAGAAGUAGGAAAGAAGGGUAUCAAUGUGAUUAUGAACGUUACAAAGGAGCGAAGGUUAAUAGCAUCCAAACAAAACGUUUUAAGUACUAUCUCAUCAGGUGGUUUUGUAGAACAUCAGACAUAUGAGAAUCAGAGUGUAGCUCAGAGGAGGUCCAAGGAGGCAUGGCAUGUUCCUCUGCGUCGUCCUUCAAGAAAAGAAUUCUAUCCCUUACAUGCACCAUCUCAUGAUUCCAUUUGGAGCUAUCAGACGUGAAGUUAGGAGCUCUGAAAAUGUUUAGAAAGAUUCAUUUGCAUUGGAAUCUUUGGUGGAGUUUGCAGUUAUAAAAUUUGUUCCAGAAUAACAGAGACCAUUCUCCCCAAUUUCAAAGAUGGUUCAAGAAAGUUAAGCUAAUGAGCGAGAGGCUGUUAUACCUAAUCAUAGGUCUCUUCCGAACAGCCAGUACGGGGUAAAAGCUACCAAUAUGUGAGAAUACAACAAGCUGGUGGCCAUCCAAAAGGAUUUUCUCUGAAUAAGCAGUGGAAACCUAAUUCUAAUGGGUAUGUGUGUUCAGCUUUGGAACAUUCCUCAUAGGCCAAUGAUCUCAAUGUCAGCUUCAUUCAGUGAUAGCGUAUGUGGGACUCAUGGGACUCAUCUAUCUCGGCGUCAUUUUUGUAUUUAGAUUUGUAAUCCACAUGUAAACGAUACAUAGAUAUACAUCUCUUUCUCCCUCUCUUUGCAUGUUCGGAUUUGAAACUCAGAGUAAGAGAAUAUAUAUAUAUAUGUGUGUGUGUGUGAAUAGGCGCAGGAGAAUAAUGGGGCAUAAAGGGGUUGGAGUGAGUGAGAAAGAUGUGAAGAGGAUACUCAUGCACAUAAUCCCUUGCCUUAACGAAUCUCUGCUUCAACGCAGGGCCAUUUUCUCUGGCGAUCCUCCACCUCUCUCAAGGCUAAGUCUUCUUAUGCUCAUCUCUUUAUCUUUCUUGCUUUAUUAAGCUUAACAAACAGGAGAUUGUGAAAACAAUGUUCAUAUGGAAGUAGUGAUUUUCAUCUUGGCCAGGUGUGGCUUUUUCCCACUCUCUCGACGUGCGCAGUAUAUUCAUCUCCGGAAUGUGCUAGAAGGGCGAGUUUGGCUGGCUGAUUAUGGGACGACAUGGUUGAAAGAAAAUGCAGCCAAAUGCUUUCAGGGUUAUUGAAGAAAUGCUGGAGAAUGGUUGGGUCGCUAAUAAAACGACGUUUCUUUUAUAUUGUUCGAGGGGUUGCAUGACUUAGGGAAAGAAAAGAAUGAGAUUAAGUGGUAAGUAUGAAUUUUUUGAGCCGGAAAAUAGAUAAAGAAUCUUGGGAACUUUU